UCCGGGCGCCAGGCGGGAGCCCGGCUACUGGCUCCGCGCGUCUGCUCUCCGAGCUCUCGAGCUCCGCGCGCGGGAGCGCUCAGCUCACCCUCUCGCACGGAUUGUUUGGAUUUCCCUUUCUGGUUUCUCAAUCACUCCUUUCAUUUUGACUCCACGGCGGUCUCUUGCGUUCUCGCUUUUUUCCCCGCCUGUAUAACCCGGGUAAACCUUGGUACAGUUCCCACGGAGUGCAGGUUAGCGUGAACCACUUGGAACCACCAGCGCCCUGAACCCAUAGGUUCUGCAGGUUUUAGGACCUGGGAGAGGUCCGCUGACAUGCUUUCUGAGGACUAACAAAAAAGAACAACUUAAGGUGUAUUGUUUGGAAAUUUUGAAAAAUUUCCGUGAAAUGGUAAUGGAAGCAAAAGUUUUAUUUUUACUGUUAAAGUCCAACAAAAUUUUCAUGAAACCUCCUGCAAAUUGGCUUUCUAGGUAAACAUGCUUUGGGUGAGAGAUUAUUUUUAUAAUUUUAUCAUUUCGCCAGUUUUACUGUUCUCAAAAAAAAGUCUUGCAGUCUUAAAGAAGGAGGGACUUUUUCGUGGGGGUGCUUGAAAUGCUAGGUUUGUGACUUGAUGAAAGGCCUCAGUGUCUCGAUAGAUAACGUAUGUUCUCACUUUGAAACAGUUAUUUUCACGCUUAUACCUUGUGAAAAGAUUCACACAUAGAGGAGUUGGGAAAAAUGCUACGGUGGACACCUAUAUACUCACCUGGGUUCUAUAAUUAACAUUUUGCUGUAUUUGUUUUAUCGUGUGUAUCUGCAAAGCUGAUUAUUUUUAGAGACCUGCCGAGGGUCAGAUGAGUGGAUAUUGUAUAAAUCAUGUAUGGUGAAGGGUCCCAGAAGCUUGUUAUAUAUGGAAACUACAGACAGCACAUUUUGAGAGUCAGAUACAAAAAUAUCUAAGUUUUUUUGUUUUUCAGUAGUUUUCCCAAUUCACAGAGACGGGCAAAAAAAAUUCAUGUUAAGGCAACUUUGUCAUCUUUCUCCAAAACUUAUCAGAUAUAGAAAAGUGCACGUGAGUGUGAAGAAUUUUCGCAAACUGAACACACCUGUUGAACCAACAUUUACAUCAAGAAACAACCUGAACAGCUCUCCAGAAGCCCCACUUCAUUUCCCUUCCAGUCACUGCCUGGUCCUCAAGGGCCACCACUUGUUUGACUUGAGAAUUCAGCAUAGCGUUUCCCCCUUUUUUGUACUUUAAUUUGUAUCUUUUGUAAAGCAAGUUUGUGACUUGCUUGUUUGAGGUUGUCAUUUGUUCAUUCUCAUUUUAUUAUCAACUUUAAGCACAUUUACAAUCUACAAUAUUAAAAAAAAUUCUUUUAACUCAUAUGCUGAAUCUAGUAUUCUCCUCGCCUGUUUACUGAACAGAAGGCUCAGCUUGUCUGCCAGUGAGCAGAUGGUCUGGCUUCAGAUUACCUAUUAGGGAUAACUAAAGUUAUUGUGAAUUUCAUUUCAGAUUUUUUUAACCAAUGAUUUUCCUUUCUGUCUUAUUAAAACACAGAUGCCUGGGCCCCUCUGGGGGUUUGAUGCUUAAAGUAGGCAGAGGACAUAGGUAUUGAAGUAAAUAAUGAGAAUCCCACAACAAGAUGGCAGAUAGGUUUAAACUUGAAUUCAACUUCCAAAUAAUUAGCAGGAUUUCUGCAGUCUCUCCUGUGUUUAAGAGGAAGAGACAGCAAACAAGCUAGGUGUGUCCCCCUCCCAACUAUUUGAUUUUUCCAUAGAUGCCUUCUAUAGUCAUUGUUUUCUGAAUGCCUCAUUGAGAAUUAAGUGAAAUAACUGGUGUCAUAUACUUUUAAAUAUCUUCAUUCAUGGAACAUCUUAGUGGUUUGAAGUUGGAUUUGAUUGUAUUAAAUGACGAGGUAUAAAAUUUAGAGUGGAAUGUGGAAUAGCAGAGUGGAAAGAUGUGGUGUAGUCUUGAUCUGAGGUAUAUCCUUUGCUUUCCAUGUUGUUCAAACGCUCUGAGCCUCAGAGCGCUCUAAAAUGGAGACGUAGACCUCUCCUGUAGUUUUGACGACUGUUGUGAACAUUUCUUGUUUUACCCUUCACGUUGUUCUCUUAAGGUUUUAUUUUGCCUGUAGGGUGUUUCCCAUUGUAUACAUCCCUGGGAUGCCCUAUUGAAGCAUUCACCCCUUCCCUUUUGUAGUGUAGUCGGACCUAGACUUGUCCAACCUUUUGUUUUCUUCUUGGACUUUGGAUCUUGAGAGCAGAACCAGAGGCUUUGGAGAUUUUUGAGGACCUGUCAGUUGAUGCAUUGGAGAAGGAAAUGGCAACCCACUCCAGUGUUCUUGCCUGGAGAAUCCCAGGGACGGGGGAGCCUGGUGGGCUGCUGUUUGUGGGGUCGCACAGAGUCGGACACAACUGAAGCGACUUAGCAGCAGCAGUGGAGCAUGAGUGUGUGGGUAAGAUUGUUCUCUGAUUUGUUUUAGAUUCCUUCUUCCUAGCCCUGUGGUUCUUGUCUUUUCCAUCUUGAUUCCCCAGGCAUCUUUCAAUUUUGUAAGCUUUAAGAACCUUCCAGUAAAGUCCCUUUUUAAAGAUUGCCAGAGUCAGUUUUUGAUGUUUUGAAUGCUUGGCAGGUGAGAACCUUAAUGUGCUAAUUUAACUCUGUAUCUUGAAAAAUAAGUAGAUGCUUGAGCUGGAUAAUACACACUUAGGGUAAAAUAGUUAAGUUUAACUAAAAUGAUAGAACUGUCUUUUGUGUGACUUUUAUGUUAGCUCUAAAGAGUGAUCUAAAAGUGUUCCAUUUUUGGAGUUUCCCAAGAUUUCUACUUUGAAGUACAGUACUUAUUAUGAUGGAUAACUUAAAAAAAGAAAAAUUCUCCUUCCUGUACAUGCAGUAAUACACAUAUCUGCAUAUCAAAUCUGUUAAUGAGAAAUUCAUCCAAUACUGAGUAUUUAAAGAUGUGUUAAGAUUUUAGUAAUUUAAAGUAUAAUAAAGACUUCUAGGUUUUAGAAUUUUGUUAUUCCUUUAAUAAAAAUACUGUGCUGUUCA
Molecule: long non-coding RNA, 3026 nt
Organism: Bubalus bubalis (water buffalo)
Lineage: Eukaryota; Metazoa; Chordata; Mammalia; Artiodactyla; Bovidae
Exons: 2
Source: RefSeq, a predicted model, not a curated record